Long non-coding RNA from Cavia porcellus (domestic guinea pig), 3422 nucleotides. RefSeq lists it as uncharacterized. The record is from RefSeq and is a predicted model, not a curated record. The transcript is spliced from 3 exons. Lineage: Eukaryota; Metazoa; Chordata; Mammalia; Rodentia; Caviidae.
UAAUCUUCUCUAAUUUUUUCCAUUGUGGUUUUCAGAGAAAAACAGUCACAGGAAGAGGGAGAGAGAAUAAGAAAAUUAUCAACCAUUUCUUUCUGUCUCUGUCAAUCGCAUUUUGAAAAAAGAAAAGAGAAAGAUUUACUAUAGAAUUAAGACGUACUAUGUACAGAUAAUAAUCCCUCUGAUGAAUCAUUAUUUACAGCAAAUGCACACUAGUAAAAAAAAGAUUGAAAGAGAUCAAAAAAGGAAGACACAUAUGGUAAACACUGCUGUCAGCUGUCAUCCAACAGAAAACCAGGCUCAUAAAAACAUCACAGUGUAUUCUCCUCGGACUUAUUCAACAUCGCUGGUAACUUCUGCCUCUUCUCCAAAGUCCAAAUGACCACAAAAGGCGAACAUUUUGAUUCAGUUCAUGACAUGGAGGCAGCCACAACAGCACAACUGAAGAGACUCAGAUAAAGGAUUUCCAGAUUUGCUUCAAAAAUAUUCAGUAUGACAGGGGGCAGCUUUCUUUCUACACUCUGUAUUCAUCUGAAUGGAGCUUUCUGCAGUACCUGGAAGCCUCCUUCAUGCGGUCAGUUGGUACGCCCUCACACGCCUCAGUUGUGACUCAUGCGGGCCACCUCAUGGGCCUCUCCUGCACCUUUCCUAUCUGCCUGUCCUUUCAAGCUUUAAAAUGAAGGAGACAAAAGAUGCCAUGAAGAGAACAGCUUUGCUCUCCCAUGCCUUUCCACCGUUAUGAAUCUAGCUGACCAUUGACUGAAUCCCUGAAACUAUGAGCAACAGCAAACAUGUAUUUCUUUAAUUUGUGGGUGUUGUAUAUUUUGUCCCAAUGAUGAAAAUAUUGAACAAUACAAAAGAGAUAUGUGAACCAAGAUAGCUCUAGGUCUUACAUUUGGAAUCCGAGGACUGAGACUCACUAGUUAUUAUAUCUCAGCUGGUCUCAUUUCUGUUUCAACAUGCAGAAAGACUCUUCUAAAAAAAAGAGAAGAUGGCCUAAGCUAGUAUGCCUCAGCUUAGGAAACUAUGAGGAAAAGAGAAAUUCAGAGUCUAGCCCCAUUAGAAAUAUUUUAGGGAAGGUCUGAUGGAGGACUUAGCCUGGAUCACAUGACAAUUUCUGAGCUAAUUACUGAGCUAAGAAGUAGGACAGAGACAAAAAUUAGUACUAAAACAGAAAGGCAUCAACGAGGGACAUCAGAGGUGAGGACAAAGGAAUCAGAGAGACUCCAAAGAGAUCAAGGAGCAACUAUUUAUUUUAAUUUGGCUUAACUGUCUUACACCUCACCCAAAUUCUUAAAAAUAUAUAUGAUUUUUCUGUUGAUGGGAUAAAGAGGGACAUUUGGAAGUGGACAAUUCUAAUAUGUGGUUCAGGAUAUUUAGAAAUGUUCAUUUUGUUUUGUUUUCUCUAAGAAAUGCAUCAUAUGAGUUAUAUAAAGGCAUUCAUUCAUUUAAUAAAUUUUAUUAGGUAUCAAAAAUGUAAAUAUUAGCUAGAACUGUGACUUACUGGUAUUAUGUGUCACCCAUCCGAAAAGUCUAGUCUUAAGUGAUUUCCUGGGUAACCUACUCCAACCUUCCCUUCCUGUAGGAAUCACUCCUGCUCUUCUCUGACAACAAACUGAGCCUCUACUCAAAUGUGGUUACUCACUACUUUUCAAAAAACAAACACAAGACAAAACUAUUGUAUUAUUGGACAGCUAUAAUUACUAAGGACAUUCAUAUUUUAUGGUGAAUCUAAGUUUGCCUUCUUAUCACCAGUUCCUGUGGUUUUAUUUUUGUUGUUGUUUGUUUGUUUGUUUUGUGGUACUGGGGAUUGAACUCACAACCUUGCGCUUGCCAAGCAGGCACUUAUGCCACUGAACUAAAUUCCCAGCCCUCCCGUGAAUUAUUUUCUAAACUACAUCAGCCCUAUCUCCCACAUGGUUGCAUUUUGAGUACAGUACGUGAAAGCAGCAACCUUGGGUUCCCAUCUCUUUUAAAGGCUAAGCAUUUUCACAUCUUACUACCACAGAAAACUAUAAAAAUUUAUGACUGAUGAGUAGAAAAGCUGUUUUUCUACUACAAAAAUUUUUAAACAACAUCAGUGUUUAAAAGGUUAACAUUUGUGAUCUUCAUUAUUUUUGUGUUUUUUAAGCCAGUGAGGCAGGCACUGAUUUAUAAGUUCUAGGAGACAACUUUGUGUGAGGCUACUUACAAAAGCACAUUCUUUGACUAACAUGUGCCCCAGCUCCUGGCCAGUACAUACAUGGGGAAUAUAUCUAUAUCUACCCACAUUUGUAUCAUCUAUAUCCGUAUCUACAUUUAUCUCUAUCUCUAUAUUUAUAUCUGUAUAUCUAUGUGUUUGGGGAUUUGAAGAUGAAGAUGUUACACAAACUAUCUACUUAAAUUAUUGAAUGUCUCUUCUACAUACAGUAAAUAUGUUACAGUUUAAUUCAGAGGAAAAAAAUUGGUCAUUGCUCAUAUUCCUGGUGCUUGUCUUGUUUUCCAUAUCACAUCAAUUCCAGAAAAGUAAUUACCCUUCCCUAGGUCAACAAAACUUGAUAAAUUGUAAAAGCCCUCCAGUGGGAGAAUUCCUGUCACCUAGGUGUAGUCAUAAAUCAACUAGGCAAUCCCAUCUAAGAGUCACUUCAUUAUGGAAUGUGUACAGAGAAAAUGACUUUCUACAGUAGCAUUGCUUACUUAGGCAGUAAUGGAUAUUACAGCAAUAUGGAAAACAUGGCCUCACAGCAAUAUUGCUUCCAUUGAUGUGUAAUUGGCACUUAAAACAUAGUAAUUUGGGAAACCAUAUUUGAAUAUUUUUUCUUCAGCACACAUUUGUAUCUAGCCUGCAUGAGCACCUUUUAUUUGAUGCUUAAUAAAGCACAAGAGGGCUCCCUAAGUGUGUGAUCUUCCCCAGUGUCACUCCAGCCAUGGCCCCUGCCUGGAACACCAGGCUUCCUCACCUAUCUCCAAGUCUCAUGCUCCUGCAAACAUCUCAGUUUGGAUUAUUCUAAAUACAUACCUUCCUGGUGACUUAUGAACAGAGCUCAAAAUCCUAACUGUGCCUCUUGAACUACCUGUUUGUUAUGAUUCCAUCCUUAUCUCUGGAGGUGGCUCUCAACAGAGGACCAGAAGAAAGAGCCUGAACCAGCCAGAAGGGACAUGGAGUCAGCUUGACUUUGCACAGGGGAUAAGCCUUGAUCACUUGCUGAAGGUGGUGUGAAUGGGCUCCUCUAUUGCUUUUCUACGUUGCCAAGGCUGGGUCCCUUCAGCUCCCUCUAUUCUGUGAUGACAGACUCAUAGACAGAAGAAUAGAGUACGAUUUCCUGGAGAAGAAGUAUCUACAAAAAUCAUUUGCAAUUCUUCUUCAAAGGAUAUCUGUCCCAUAUUAUCUAUUUUUAAUUUAGCUUUUAUUUAUAUUGGAAUAGACUUAUGAAUGUUUAAUCUGA